GCCGUUGUAGCUCAGGGGUAGAGCGCUCCCUUGGUAAGGGCGAGGUCAAGAGUUCAAAUCUCUUCAAUGGCA
Molecule: transfer RNA, 72 nt
Filed under: Alphaproteobacteria bacterium
Lineage: Bacteria; Pseudomonadati; Pseudomonadota; Alphaproteobacteria
Description: tRNA-Thr
Rfam family: tRNA
About the family: Transfer RNA (tRNA) molecules are approximately 80 nucleotides in length. Their secondary structure includes four short double-helical elements and three loops (D, anti-codon, and T loops).
Source: RNAcentral